RNAcentral lists this long non-coding RNA (421 nucleotides) under Lynx pardinus (Iberian lynx). The record is from RNAcentral. Lineage: Eukaryota; Metazoa; Chordata; Mammalia; Carnivora; Felidae.
UAUGAAUGUAUUGGACGCGCUGCUUGUGGCUGUGCAGGAUGAAAACCAUGGAGCCACUGGCCCAGAUCAUGAGCCCCAAACAGAAACCAUCAUGGGAUAAUAGCAAUGGCACAUAGAAUGACUCUGCGAUUUUGUCGUAAGAUAGCGCGUAACAGUAGUCCUGAUCUAUUUUCCUUGUGAUGUUUAUGUUAUUCCUUUUGUCAGUUAGAUGAAAAGGAACCACAAUACUUCGCACUAUAUUCAAGACCCAGCAGAAGAUGUUGGAGGUGCCCACGUACUUGGGAGCUUUUAUUUUAAGCUGUGCCCACCUGGAGUCCCCAGGACUGAUCAUGAUCACCUGGAAGACAGUCAAGAGGCAGGUGGCUCCAAUGGCCACAUCCCUGCCCACUCUGUGAACAAAGAAAACAAGUCUGCAUCCAAA